Molecule: transfer RNA, 85 nt
Filed under: Felis catus (domestic cat)
Lineage: Eukaryota; Metazoa; Chordata; Mammalia; Carnivora; Felidae
Rfam family: tRNA
About the family: Transfer RNA (tRNA) molecules are approximately 80 nucleotides in length. Their secondary structure includes four short double-helical elements and three loops (D, anti-codon, and T loops).
Source: Rfam by way of RNAcentral
GCCCGGGUGGCUCAGUGGGUUAAGCGUCCGACUUCGGCUCAGGUCAUGAUCUUGUGGUUUGUGGGUUCAAGCCCCGCGUCGGGCU